RNAcentral lists this long non-coding RNA (590 nucleotides) under Pan troglodytes (chimpanzee). RNAcentral describes it as "long non-coding RNA NONPTRT001969". The record is from RNAcentral. Lineage: Eukaryota; Metazoa; Chordata; Mammalia; Primates; Hominidae.
CAAAUACACUGUGAUCUCCUCACUCCCCUCAGCAUCCAAACACACUGCGAUCUCCUCACUCCCCUCGGCACCCAAACACACUGUGAUCUCCUCACUCCCCUCGGCACCCAAACACACUGCGAUCUCCUCACUCCCCUCGGCAUCCAAACACACUGUGAUCUCCUCACUCCCCUCGGCACCCAAACACACUGUGAUCUCCUCACUCCCCUCACACCCAAACUCACCGUGAUCUCCUCACUCCCCUCAUCAUCCAAACACACUGUGAUCUCCUCACAGCCCUCAGCACCCAAACCCACUGCGAUCUCCUCACUCCCCUCGGCAUCCAAACUCACCGUGAUCUCCUCACUCCCCUCCGCCCCCAAAUACACUGUGAUCUCCUCACUCCCCUCGGCAUCCAAACACACCAUGAUCUCCUCACUCCCCUCGGCAUCCAAACACACCAUGAUCUCCUCCUACAGGCUCUUUCUGCACUUGGCUUAAAGCCGCCCUCUCCCUUCUGUGGCCUCACUGGCCUCUCCUCCGUGCUGGGAGGGAGGCAGGGCCAGGAAUUGGGGGUGGCCUUCGGAUCCCCACACCCUGAGGUCUCCCAG